This is a non-coding RNA of Diabrotica virgifera virgifera (western corn rootworm), 78 nucleotides long. The record is from the annotation of a RefSeq genome assembly. NCBI's taxonomy places the organism in Eukaryota, Metazoa, Arthropoda, Insecta, Coleoptera, Chrysomelidae.
GGCGCGUUAGCUCAGUGGUAAGAGCACCAUACUCAAUUUGGCUCAUGGUGGUCGUAGGUUCGAAUCCUACACGCGCCA